This is a long non-coding RNA of Felis catus (domestic cat), 1966 nucleotides long. RefSeq lists it as uncharacterized. The record is from RefSeq and is a predicted model, not a curated record. The transcript is spliced from 9 exons. Lineage: Eukaryota; Metazoa; Chordata; Mammalia; Carnivora; Felidae.
CUUGCAACAGCUCCCACGGUGCGGUGUUUCUAUUUCUAAUUACUCCGAGAUGAAUGUGCAGCCGUGCGCUUUGCAAGAGCAGCCUCGCCUCGACGGGCCGCGUCGGCGGCUCGGCGAGCUCCAGGGCCGAGCGGGCCCGAAGAUGUGAAUUUCUGCUUCCGGGAGCACGCAGCUCUGCGCCCCCGGCCCGGCUCGCGUGGCCCCCCGCGCGACGUGGGCGCUUUGGAGCGCGCUCCGGGCAACGGGAGCGGAGCCCGCGGCGCGCUGCCUGUCCCCGGGCACGGCCGGCUCCCACGUCCCCGGCCCCAUUCAGGCCGCCGAGGCCGCGCCGCCUCGCUCGGCCCCCAGAUUACGGCCCCGGCGGCGCCCCCAGCCGGGGAGCGGGGGGCGGGGGCUGCGCGCCCAGCCUGCGGCCCAGAUGGCGGGCCAGCCCCGCGCGGGGACACUUUCUCAGGCUUUCAAAAAGAGCACUUUCUUUCCUGCCUAAUAUUUAGCUCCUUCAAAUGCAAAUGGAGAGGUUUCGCUCCAAGAUGUUCCAGGAGACUUUUCUAGACCUUCCUCCUGGGGCCAUCCUCCACCUGUCACUUCGGGAGAUGCUGUAAGGUCUCAGCCUCCUAGGUCUUCCUCACCUGAGACCCAAGAGAGACUGGAGACCCUUGGGAGCUCAUUAAAUCUUUCAGCCGCAUGGACAAUAUAUUGGCAAAUGCUUCGCGACCCACUAGGAUCUACAGUGCCUAGAUGACACUGUAAGCGGUUGGUGUCCCGAUGCCAUCUGGCACAUAAGAGCGAACGUGGAUCCAUUACCAUAUGGUGUAAUGCUAGCAGAACAAAGAAUGGUUUCACUUCUUCGUAACCUGCUGACGCAAGUAAAGCCAAGGCUGAUGUUUUGGAAAGUUCUUCAUACUGAGAGGAUUCAGAACAACACAGAAGAUUAGAGAGAUGUUAAUAAUCAUCAAAACUCGAGACAAGGCCUCCGACCUACUGCUGUAGCUGAAAGAGCUACUUCGGGAGAGACACCCUCGUCCAGCCAGCCCUGUGUUGCCUUCAUCUUCUCCAGUUACCCAGGGAGACCCAAAAGUUGUCUCUUCUCCGAGUAGGGAACCAGUGGAAUGGAUCCCUGAAACUCAGUGAACAUAGCGUUGCUUCACUCCAGCAUUUCCAUGCACACAAGCAUUCUGUUACCUCUGACACAAUUGCAUCUGCGAUGGUAACUGAGACGUAGAGGCAAGUCAGGCGCUAGGGCUCCGGGCACAGUCGCAGUGUCACAUCGAGCACGGCCGGCAGUCUGACAUGAGCAAGAUCCGAAACACCCCAACCUCAGGCUGCUUAUCUGCCAAGUUCAAAUUACCUACCUCACAGGGCUGCCGAAAAGGCUAAGAAGAACCUGCAUUACAAUGUUCAGCUCAUUACAAGUCAUGACAAAGCCCCGUUGGAACCAAAGAGGACUGACGCUCUUUAUAUGCCGAGAAGCUGUUCCCAUUAGUUGUCUUUCCCUGCAACAGGCCAGUGCUAACAUAACUGGAGAAUGAAACUUUGAAGAUUCUUGCAAUUUCAUUUUUUGUGUAUUGAGGAGACGGGAGAUACGUGUGUGAUUGCAGAGGUCACGGCACAGCACGUGGAGGUUCAAGCAAAAGAAAGACAAGGAGAGAACGGGAGAAACCGAGGGGGAAAGUGUCUAAGGAGACCAUGAAGUGUCCCUGGAGUCAUCAUCCUCCAGCCCAGCGAGGCAAGCCCUUUUCUGAGUAUCACCAUAGCACCACCUUGGGAAGUCAAGGCAUCUCCUGAUAUAUCAUUAUUUUCCUAACAAUCCCCCCAGGGCUUAUUGUUUGGGAGGACAGCGACAAUCAGAUAUGCACAGAGGGAAGUUGGGAUUAGCGUGACCAGAACAAUUGUGUGCCCAAGUGUUUACCUGUCAAUCCAUUCCAAACAUCCUUAUCCACGAACAACGUGUUAAGAAAUACAUCAA